CAAGAUCUUUUUCGCACACACUGCUGUCAAGCCAGGCGUCCCCCAUUCUGUAUCUUUGAUUUCCAUUUUUUCUGCCGAAGUGAAGUAUCUUGCAUUUGUCCCUGUUGAACUUCAUUUUGUUAGUUUCGGCCAAUCAUCUCUCUAGUCUGUCAAGAUCGUUUUGAAUUCUGCUCCUGUCUUCUGGAGUGUUAGCUAUCCCUCCCAGUUUGGUGUCAUCUGCCAACUUGAUGAUCGUGCCUUCUAACCCUUCGUCUAAGUCGUUAAUAAAGAUGUUGAACAGAACCGGGCCCAGGACGGAGCCCUGCGGCACUCCACUUGUCAUUUCUUUCCAUGAUGAAGACGACGCAUUGGUGAGCACCCUUUGGGUUCGUUCGCUUAGCCAAUUACAGAUCCACCUAACCGUAGUUUUGUCUAGCCCACAUUUUACUAGUUUGUUUGCCAGAAGGCUGAGAGAUACCAUAUGUGCGAAUUUCACAAGUGACCACUCGGAGAAACAUGGUUACAGGUAAACAACCUUCUCUUUCUAUCCCAAGUGCAAUUGUCCUGGAGAAGAGGCAGGGUCAGCUCCACCAUGCCUGAUUCCAGAGGCAGAUGAAUAAUUGAAUCACAGAGUUGGAAGAGACUGCAUAGAUCAUCUAGUUCAACCCCCUCCCAUGCAGGAAAAAACACAAUCAAAGCACGCCUAACAGAUGGCCAUUCAGACUCUAUUUAAAAACCUCCAAAGAAGAACACACCACACUCCCAGGCAGCACCAUAUUCUACUGCCAAACAGCUCUUUUCCAUCAGGAAGUUCUUCCUAAUCCUUAGGUGGAUUUCUUUUCUUGCUGUUUGAAUCAGUUGCUCUGUGUCCUAAUCUCUGGAGUAGGAGAAAACCACCGUGCUCCAUCUUCAAUAUGACAUAGAAUCAUAGAAUUGGAAGAGACCCCAUGGGCCAUCCAAUCCAACCCUCGCCAAGUUGCAGGAAAAUCGUAUUCAAAACACUCCCGACAGAUGGCCAUCUAGCCUCUAUGUAAAAGCCUCCAAAGAAGGAGAUUCCACCACACUCCGAGGCAGAGAGUUCCACUGCUGAACAGCUCUCUCUCACAGCGAGAAAGUUCUUCCUCAUGUUCAGGUGGAGUCUCCUUUUUUGUCAUUUGAAGCCGUUGUUCCGCACCCUAGUCUCCAGGGCAGCAGAAAACAAGCCUGCUCCCUCACUUCUUGAUCCAUGGCCCUCAUAAUGUCUCCUCUCAGCCUUCUCUUCUGCAGGCUAAACAUGCCCAGCUCUUUAAGCCGCUCCUCAUAGGGCUUCUUCUCCAGACCCUUGAUAAUUUAAUCAUCCUCCUCUGGACACAUUCCAGUUUGUCAACAUCUCCCUAAAGUUGCGAUGCCCAGAAUUGGACACAGUGUGAUUCCAGGUGUGGUCUGACCAAGGCAGAAGAGAGGGGCAGUUCCCUGGCUCUAGACACUAGACUCCUAUUGAUGCAAUCCAAAAUCCCAUUGGCUUUUUAAGCCACUGCAUCACAUUGUUGGUUUAUGUUUAACUUGUUCUCCACAAGGACUCCAAGAUCUUUUUCACACAUACUGCUGUCAAGCCAGGCAUCCCUCAUCCUUUCAAAUAUGUAGGCAUGACUAUCAUGUUUUUUUCUUAGCUUUCUCAACCAUUUGCCAUGUUGGCUCAGGCUGAUAGAAACUUCAGUCCAGCAGCAUGAUCCUCAAAGUGUCUACAUA
Anolis carolinensis (green anole) is the source of this 1707-nucleotide long non-coding RNA. The record is from Ensembl. NCBI's taxonomy places the organism in Eukaryota, Metazoa, Chordata, Lepidosauria, Squamata, Anolidae.